This 68-nucleotide transfer RNA is filed under the name Heterotermes sp. SLC-2012. RNAcentral describes it as "tRNA-Ala". The record is from RNAcentral. Lineage: Eukaryota; Metazoa; Arthropoda; Insecta; Blattodea; Rhinotermitidae.
GGGACUAUAGUUAACAAUAACAUUUGAGUUGCAUUCAAAAAGUGCUGCAACAGAUACAGCUAGCCUCA